RNAcentral lists this ribosomal RNA (519 nucleotides) under uncultured eukaryote. RNAcentral describes it as "SSU rRNA". It matches the Rfam family "Eukaryotic small subunit ribosomal RNA", at positions 1161 to 1704 of the family's 1831-position model. The record is from RNAcentral.
AGGGCGCCACCAGGAGUGGAGCCUGCGGCUUAAUUUGACUCAACACGGGGAAACUCACCCGGCCCGGACACCGGAAGGAUUGACAGAUUGAUAGCUCUUUCUUGAUUCGGUGGAUGGUGGUGCAUGGCCGUUCUUAGUUGGUGGAGCGAUCUGUCUGGUUAAUUCCGAUAACGAACGAGACUCUAGCCUAUUAAAUAGACGUCGGGUUCUCUGCACUCGACGGUCUUCUUAGAGGGACAAGGUGCUUUUAGCACCGCGAAACAGAGCAAUAACAGGUCUGUGAUGCCCUUAGAUGUCCGGGGCCGCACGCGCGCUACACUGAAGGAAGCAGCGUGUAACAACCUUGUUCUAACGAACUGGGUAACCCGUGGAACUUCCUUCAUGAUUGGGAUAGGGGUUUGCAAUUGUGCCCCUUGAACGAGGAAUUCCCAGUAAACACUAGUCAUCAGCUAGUGCUGAUUACGUCCCUGCCCUUUGUACACACCGCCCGUCGCUACUACCGAUUGAAUGGUUUAGUGA